Molecule: ribosomal RNA, 301 nt
Filed under: uncultured bacterium
Lineage: Bacteria
Description: partial 16S ribosomal RNA
Rfam family: Bacterial small subunit ribosomal RNA
Source: RNAcentral
CAGUCGCCGCGGUAAUACGAAGGGUGCAAGCGUUAAUCGGAAUUACUGGGCGUAAAGCGCACGUAGGCGGCUUGGUAAGUUAGAGGUGAAAGCCCGGAGCUCAACUCCGGAAUUGCCUUUAAGACUGCCGAGCUAGUAGGUGAGAGAGGUAAGUGGAAUUCCGAGUGUAGAGGUGAAAUUCGUAGAUAUUUGGAAGAACACCAGUGGCGAAGGCGGCUUACUGGCUCAUUCUAGACGCUGAGGUGCGAAAGCGUGGGGAGCAAACAGGAUUAGAUACCCCUGUAGUCCCUGUCUCUUAUAC